Molecule: ribosomal RNA, 468 nt
Filed under: uncultured bacterium
Lineage: Bacteria
Description: bacterial SSU rRNA
Rfam family: Bacterial small subunit ribosomal RNA
Source: RNAcentral
GAUGAACGCUAGCGGCAGGCUUAAUACAUGCAAGUCGAGGGGCAGCACGAAUAGCAAUAUUUGGUGGCGACCGGCGCACGGGUGCGUAACACGUAUACAACCUACCUAUAACAGGGGGAUAGCCUUUCGAAAGAGAGAUUAAUACCCCGUAAUAAAUUGAGUGGCAUCACUUGAUUUUGAAAGCUACGGCGGUUAUAGAUGGGUAUGCGUCUGAUUAGCUAGUUGGUGAGGUAACGGCUCACCAAGGCGACGAUCAGUAGGGGAUCUGAGAGGACUAACCCCCANACUGGUACCUGAGACACGGACCAGACUCCUACGGGAGCAGCAGUAAGGAUAUUGGUCAAAUGGAGGCAACUCUGAACCAGCCAUGCCGCGUGCAGGAUGACGGCCCUAUGGGUUGUAAACUGCUUUUGUACCAGAGAAAACCUACUCACGUAGUGAGUAGCUGAUAGUAUGGUAAGAAUAAGC